UGUUAGGAAGCAGAGGUCUCUUCCUGCCAUCAGCAGGGGCUGCUGGAGGCUCUUUCCAAGCCCCAGCAGCUGGCCUGUGGAAUGGGGCACAGAGAGCCACCAGCACGCAGGCUGCCCCAGGUCUGUGGGCACCCCUGGCCGCUCUUCAGGCUGGAAGAGAGACAUCCUGGGAAGCCGGAGUUCCUGUUGAGCCAAGGACCCUUCUUCCCUUCAUUUCCUUCCACGCUCUGUCAUCGGCGUCUGCAAGCUCGCACUUGACCGGGAUUAAGGAGAGCGUUGGCAUGAGCCAGGUCAGCCUUCAAGCAGCCACUUCUCUCCACACUGGACUCAAGCUGCUCUUCAGCUCUUCCGUGGAGAACAUUUUUGAGAUAAUUAUCUUUUUAGUUUCAAGAAUUCUAGACUUGAAAUUGAAGACUCAUGCUCUUGUUUCAUGACCUGACCUCAUUUUGUGGUUGUGAACCCUUCCUUUCCUUUAUGUGAGAAGAUGCCGCUCAAUGUGUUUGUCUUGUAUCACUUUGGUCAGCCAAGGUGAUUUUUAUUUGCUUUUAGUUGUGAAAUCAUGAUGCAUUUGUGCUGUGGAAAUAAAUGAAGUCUGGUGUUUAUUGAGUACCUAU
This is a long non-coding RNA of Myotis myotis, 614 nucleotides long. RefSeq lists it as uncharacterized. Lineage: Eukaryota; Metazoa; Chordata; Mammalia; Chiroptera; Vespertilionidae. The record is from RefSeq and is a predicted model, not a curated record. The transcript has 2 exons.